Molecule: long non-coding RNA, 3406 nt
Filed under: Lactuca sativa (garden lettuce)
Lineage: Eukaryota; Viridiplantae; Streptophyta; Magnoliopsida; Asterales; Asteraceae
Description: long non-coding RNA (LSAT_LNC005453)
Source: RNAcentral
AUUUCUGGGAUGUCCUAUCUACCCUUCGGUCCUAACGACCGAACUUGGGGACUAUUCCCCUCCUAAUACCACUAUCACAUAUAACAUAUCAUGCCAGCAUAUAAACAUAUCAUCGCAUACUGUCAGACAUAUCUGGGGUGUCUGACCUACCCUUCGGUCCUAACAACCGAACUCUACUACUAUCACAUAUACAUAUCAGGCCAGCAUAUAAACAUAUCAGGUAGUAGCAAACCUAGAUGAUAUCACAAAGACAAUCAUCUAACAUACAACUCCUACUGGUGGGCCGGCAUUGUGGCCGUAGACCCACUGCUACUGGAAGGUAACUCACCUCAAAGUAGUUGCUGAUCUGCGUAGGAACUGACUGUCUUCUUCUGCUGUUGCCCCGGAAAUCCUCCGGCUAUAAUUCCCACAAAACACUCAGUCAAAUACUGCUAACCGGCCUCAGGGUAAAAUGACCAUUUACCCCUAACCAAACCAAGAGUCAAAGUCAAAGUCAACCUCCAGUUGACCCGACUCGCCGAGUUGGCUUGCCAACUCGCCGAGUCCCUAUCCAUUCGAUGGACCAUAAUCCCGUCUCUACUCGUUGAGUUAGGCAUUGACUCGACGAGUUUUCUUCUAACCGAUGUCCAAUUGUCCUUCAUCCUACUCGCCGAGUUGUAUGAACACCUCGCCGAGUCUGUUCUUGAGGCAAGAAGAUUGCCUGGGACUCGCUGAGUUAGGGCAUUGACUCGCCGAGUUUCUUCAUGGUUGAGUCUAGCUUCCGACUCACUGAGUCACACCCCAUGCCUCACUACUCCACUCCGCAAACACGAAAAAGGGGGAAAACUCGGGGACUCGCGACUUGACUCGCCGAGCCUGAUGAACGACUCGCCGAGUCUUUCACAUGCAAUUACUAUACACUCGAUUUUGCUUGAAUCAAGCUCAUGCCACACAUAGAUAUGGGUUUCUAGGGCUUGAUUAACACGUAAAGUUUCCAAGUUUACGUGUAAAUAAACACCAAUGAAGGUUUUAGCGCUCAAAAUGCACAAAAGGAGUAGAUCUAGGGCUUUCAUGCAAUAUGGAUCCAUAAAGGCAGUACAUCCGAGCUCCUGCAGCUCAAUCAUGCCUAGAUCUUAAGGUUAAUCAACUUAUUACAAACCCUAAAUCAUACCCAAGCUUGGAAACAGCUCAAUAAGGAUUUUAAUGGAGCUAUAAGUGACUAUAAGCAUGAAAACAGAGGGAAACUGAGUUAUACCUCAAGGAAAUCACUGAAAUAACACCAAGAUGUCGGGCCUCCUUCUUCUCUUCUUGAUCUACUCUCCUUUUCUCUCAAAAUCUUUAUGAAAACACACCAAAUCACUUCAAUCUCACAAGGAACAAGGGUUGGAUGAUAUAGGGAGCUCUGAGGGUGAAGGGGGUGAGCUUGGGGGUGCACAAGGUGACUUAAAUAUGGUGCAAACCCUUGAAAUUAGGGUUUCAUCAGACACCGAUAGGAAUUUAUUAAAAAUUAAAUUAUUAUGUAAUCAAAUAAAGAUAGAUAUUAAAUGAUUUUCAUAAUUUUAUGUAUAUUAAAUGAUAUUGUAACAUCCUAAAAAUACGAGCCAAAAAUUUCAUUUUUAGAACAUAUACUUUGCAAAACAUUAGAAAUAAAACAUUCACCAAUCAUAUCAUUUCACAAAAGAUGUUGUGUGUCUGAAUUUUUUUUUUUAAAAGAUAAUAAUGUCAGUGUACAAAUCCCCAGGAAGAUCUCAUAGUGCGGAAUACAAGCAUGUAUGUGAUGUGCCGCUACCGCGCCAGCUCCUUCCCCUUCGAAGAAGAGGUACCUAAAACCAAAACUGAAAACUGUAAACACAAAGCUUAAUGAGUUCCCCCAUCUUACCACAUACCAUACAAUCACAUAUCAUACAUACUGUCGAGCAAUUCUGGGGUGCCCGACCUACCCGGUACGGCCAUUCUGGGGUGCCGAUCUACCCGUGUCAAGCCGUUUUGGGGUGCUGACUACCCAUGUCAAGCCAUUAUGGGGUGUUGACUACCCAUCGGUCCUAACAAACGAUCCUCGGGGACUAUUUCACCCCCUACUACUACUAUCACAUAUAUCAUAACAUAACAUAUUAUCAGACAUUUCCGGGGUGUCCUAUCUACCCUUCGGUCCUAACGACCGAACUUGGGGACGAUUCCCCUCCUAAUACCACUAUCACAUAUAACAUAUCAUGCCAGCAUAUAAACAUAUCAUCGCAUACUGUCAGACAUAUUUGGGGUGUCUGACCUCCUUCUUCUCUUCUUGAUCUACUCUCCUUUUCUCUCAAAAUCUUCAAGAAAACACACCAAAGCACUUCUAUCUCACAAGGAACAAGGGUUGGAUGAUAUAGGGAGCUCUGAGGGUGAAGGGGUUGAGCUUGGGGGCACAUAAGGUGACUUAAAUAUGGUGCAAACCCUUGAAAUUAGGGUUUCAUCAGACACCGAUAGGAAUUCAGUAAAAUUUAAAUUAUUAUGUAAUCAAAUAAAGAUAGAUAUUAAAUGAUUUUCAUAAUUGUAUGUAUAUUAAAUGAUAUUGUAACAUCCCAAAAAUACGAGCCAAAAAUUUCAUUUUUAGAACAUAUACUUUGCAAAACAUUAGAAAUAAAACAUCGAUCAUAUCAUUUCACAAAAGAUGUUGCGUGUCUGAUAAACCCUUUUUUAAAACAUAAUAAUGUUAGAGUACAAAUCCCCAUGAAGAUCUCAUAGUGCAGAAUACAAGCAUGUAUGUGAUGUGCCGCUACCGCGACAGCUCCUGUCCUUCGAAGAAGAGGUACCUGAAACCAAAACUGAAAACUGCAAGCACGAAGCUUAGUGAUUUCCCCCAUGUUACCACAUACCAUCCAAUCACAUAUCAUAUAUACUGCCGGGCAAUUCUGGGGUGCCCGACCUACCCUGUACGACCAUUCUGGGAUGCCGACCUACCCGUGUCAAGCCGUUCUAGGGUGCUGACUACCUAUGUCAAGCCAUUCUAAGGUGCUGACUACCACCGAUCCUCGGGGACUAUUUCACCCCUACUGCUACUAUCACAUAUAUCAUAACAUAACAUAUUAUCAGACAUUUCUGGGGUGUCCUAUCUACCCUUCGGUCCUAACGACCGAACUUGGGGACUAUUCCCCUCCUAAUACCACUAUCACAUAUAACAUAUCAUGCCAGCAUAUAAACAUAUCAUCGCAUACUGUCAGACAUAUCUGGGGUGUCUGACCUACCCUUCGGUCCUAACAAUCGAACUCUACUACUAUCACAUAUACAUAUCAUGCCAGCAUAUAAACAUAUCAGGUAGUAGCAAACCUAGAUGAUAUCACAAAGACAAUCAUCUAACAUACAACUCCUACUGGUGGGCCGGCAUUGUGGCCGUAGACCCACCGCUACUGGAAGGUAACUCACCUCAAAGUAGUUGCUGAUCUGUGUG